GACUAACGCUGGCGGCGCGCUUAACACAUGCAAGUCGAGCGAGAACCUGGGCUUCGGCCCUGGGGACAGCGGCGAACGGGUGAGUAUCACGUGGGUAAGCUGCCCUCGGCAUCGGGAUAGCCCGGGGAAACCCGGAUUAAGACCGAAUAGCCUCCGGAGCCUUCGGGCGCCGGAGAAAAGGUAGCUUCGGCCUCUGGCCGAGGCUGAGCCCGCGGCGGAUUAGCUUGUUGGCGGGGUAACGGCCCACCAAGGCGACGAUCCGUAGCCGGUCUGAGAGGACGAUCAGCCACACUGGGACUGAGACACGGCCCAGACUCCUACGGGAGGCAGCAGUGGGGAAUCUUGCGCUAAUGCGGGAAACCGUGACGCAGCGACGCCGCGUGGGGGAAGAAGGCCUUCGGGUUGUAAACCUCUUUCAGGAGGGACGAAGCUACUCGGGUUAAUAGCCCAGAGGGUGACGGUACCUCCAGAAGAAGCCCCGGCUAACUACGUGCCAGCAGCCGCGGUAA
Molecule: ribosomal RNA, 509 nt
Filed under: uncultured bacterium
Lineage: Bacteria
Description: partial 16S ribosomal RNA
Rfam family: Bacterial small subunit ribosomal RNA
Source: RNAcentral